GCACAGUAAAUUAUAAUACACAUAUUUAACAUACUUGAAUAUACUUAAAAUCACAGAAAACAGUGAAAACGACACAAACAGGCAACAAGGGUUAGCUCAGGAAUGAACUGAAUACAGGGAAGCUGGGGCCCUUCACUGUCCUUUUUCAUUUUUUUAAAAUAAGCAUUUACUACUUUCAUUUUUAAAAAGCACAAGAUAUUAAUGCUGAAAGUCAAGUCCUUAGAGAUCACCUGGUCUCUCAAGAGACAGUACCUCACACGUCCGAGAAUAAGAGAAUAAUAGAUUGAGAACUCCUGACUCCCAGGCUGGUUUCUAUCAGACCCAGCUGCCUGGGGAAAUAACAGGCAUCAAUUAAUAAGGCCCUACCUGCUGCCCUUGAAUAUUUAUCAUCUCUAACUUUCACAACCAACCUUACAAGAGUAAACUGAUACAGAACUUUCUCAACACUCCAGACCCACCCCACCGUGCUGCCAAACUAACAGCACAAAUGCACACAAAGAACGAGACAGACCUGUGG
Molecule: long non-coding RNA, 517 nt
Filed under: Bos taurus (domestic cattle)
Lineage: Eukaryota; Metazoa; Chordata; Mammalia; Artiodactyla; Bovidae
Description: long non-coding RNA NONBTAT011880
Source: RNAcentral